Molecule: ribosomal RNA, 429 nt
Filed under: Pseudomonadota bacterium
Lineage: Bacteria; Pseudomonadati; Pseudomonadota
Description: Proteobacteria bacterium partial 16S ribosomal RNA
Rfam family: Bacterial small subunit ribosomal RNA
Source: RNAcentral
UGGGGAAUAUUGGACAAUGGGCGAAAGCCUGAUCCAGCCAUGCCGCGUGUGUGAAGAAGGUCUUCGGAUUGUAAAGCACUUUAAGUUGGGAGGAAGGGCAGUAAGCGAAUACCUUGCUGUUUUGACGUUACCGACAGAAUAAGCACCGGCUAACUCUGUGCCAGCAGCCGCGGUAAUACAGAGGGUGCAAGCGUUAAUCGGAAUUACUGGGCGUAAGGCGCGCGUAGGUGGUUCGUUAAGUUGAAUGUGAAAGCCCCGGGCUCAACCUGGGAACUGCAUCCAAAACUGGCGAGCUAGAGUAGGGCAGAGGGUGGUGGAAUUUCCUGUGUAGCGGUGAAAUGCGUAGAUAUAGGGAGGAACACCAGUGGCGAAGGCGACCACCUGGGCUCAUACUGACACUGAGGUGCGAAAGCGUGGGGAGCAAACAGG